Panicum hallii is the source of this 1965-nucleotide long non-coding RNA. RefSeq lists it as uncharacterized. NCBI's taxonomy places the organism in Eukaryota, Viridiplantae, Streptophyta, Magnoliopsida, Poales, Poaceae. The record is from RefSeq and is a predicted model, not a curated record. The transcript has 2 exons.
UUUCUUUCCUCCUCCCGGUAAAGCCAUCCAAACCCUAGCAGUUCCCCUUCCCUGUCGCCUCCUACCUCCUCCAUUCGGCCAUCCCAAUGCCCGAUAGCUCCUCAUCCCCCGUCCUCAGGAGGGACUAUCUUGACUGCCGCCGCCGCCUGCCGGAGCACGCCAGUCUUGUGCUGCCAUUGGCAGCCACAAGAGCUGGCGAGGGAUGGAAGUUCAACCUCCCCAAUCAUCCCUGUCUGGUAACCCCACUCUCCUGGAUUGGAUUCGUCUAUAGGCGGAUGCUCUAAUACUCUUCAGUAUUGGAUUGUCUAUAAAGCCAUCGUUGGUGUAUGAUUGCUGGACUGCGGAUUGAGCAUCUUGAGUGCAAGGAAAAGGGACUGUUUGUCCUUUUGUUUGUACGUUCAGACACUUGGUAGUCGGGAAAUUGAUGUCAUUCUGGUUGGAUAAAAGAUUUGUCUCACCAUAUUGCAUAGAAAGAUUUGUCUCACCAGUGGCCUUUUGAUGAAUCUACCUUGGCUUUUUCCAGAUUUUCGAUUCCAUCUGGUUGUUUCUGUAUUUGCAAUCUGCUAUUCAUGGCUGAGGAGAGAAAAGUUGAACCAAACAUCAGUUUGUUUGCUAUAUGCUCUCCUGGCUCUGGUGAAAGCGUUCAGCAGGUUACUUGCAGUAUGGUUAGUUUCUAACUCACAAAUGGCUAAUUGUUUUACUCUGUCUACAUUUAAAUUGUAGGAUUAUGCAACUUAGUGCCCAUGUUCAUUGUUGUUUGCCUCGGUGAAUCUGUUCAAGAUUGUCAGUGUGGUGUUAAUUUCAGGUCUAUAAUGAUGCGGAGAGCAUUUUUUUAAAAAAUGAUAGAUGUUUUGGCCUUGAUUUCACAAAAAUAGAGAAUAACUUUUGAAUGCUUUUCUGCAAAGAGUGGUUACAGGUUGCAGGGGCAACACUACCUCAUUACAGUUUCAUGAAGUUUUGAGAUAUUUUUCUUGUUCACAAGCUGUAUUUUUCCUUAUGAGGAGCAAAACUCAGCUUGGCACUUACUUCACUGUGUUUGCUUUCCAAGUUGUUGUUGUGUUUUUUUUUACAAAGAUGUCCAAGUGUUUUGACAAACUGAGGAGAAAAAUACAGUUGCAUCCUUGUCACCCGUCUAGAUUUAAUGCUCUGGUGUAAUUAGCUUGUUAAUAAAUCAAUUUUCGGUAGUGUUAAUCAGGUAGAACAUAAAUGCUUGUACAGAUGAAGGAGAGAUCAGCUGCUACAAGUAGCUAGCAACAUGUUUGUAUGGUUUCUUCAGAAAGCAGCGUACUUGCAUAUAGGUGAGCAAUUUAAGCCUGAUGCUAUAUUUAGGCGAUUGCAUAUUUUCACUUGUUGCAGGAGGUGAUAGGAGUGCAAUUUGUUCUUUUGGUUUUAUUGUUUCAAGUCCAAGCAAAUUAAAAGAUUAUUUCUGUUAUCAUGAUUGUGAUUCCGGAAUUGAGUAAAUACCUCUGCUCAACUUUGUCAUGGUCAACAUUACGUUUUCGAGUCCAUUAACCUGCCUGAAUUUUGUGAUUUUGGAGCCCCAUGUGCCUCUUCUUGGAACCAUACCUAGAGACACAAACAUGGAUAUGCUCCCCACUGUGACGGAGGCUCUUUACAAGCUCUUGGCUCUCUCCUCCGUGUCUGAGUUCAAUUCACGGGUUCCAUCCAAGUAUUUUUUGAGAUUUCAAUAGUCUUUACUGAACUGAUUAGUGUGAGUUUUAUUGGGUGCUCAAUAUCGGCAUUAACAAAGGACAGCAAUAUGACAUCUCUUGCAAAUACCUUACCUGUCAUGCAACAUCAUUUCUCGGUAGUUGCAAGCAAAACACAACUCCCUUCUAUUAUCUCAAUCUACAGUAUGUUAUUCCUCUGUAUAUCUUUGCAACCGUCUCAAAACUAAACUAUGUGUUAAAAAUAAUAAAGUUAUAAAGGUAUUUCUGUGUUGGAUACUUGAAUAAUUUUUUUUCA